GGCAGUAAAAGCGUAACAAGGUUUCCGUAGGUGAACCUGCGGAAGGAUCAUUAUUGUAUAACCGAGGUGCGAGGGCUGUCGCUGACCCGAAAGGUCGUGCACGCCCGAGUGCCCUCACACACAUCCAUCUCACCCCUAUGUGCACCACCGCGUGGGUCCCCCUUUGGCUUGUUCGGAGGGGGGCUUACGUUUUCACACAAACUUUGUAUGCAGUGUAGAAUGUAUUUUUUGUUUUUGCGAUCACGCAAUCAAUACAACUUUCAACAACGGAUCUCUUGGCUCUC
RNAcentral lists this unclassified non-coding RNA (284 nucleotides) under plant metagenome. Its description in RNAcentral is "partial contains small subunit ribosomal RNA, internal transcribed spacer 1, and 5.8S ribosomal RNA". The stretch from base 1 to 53 matches the Rfam family "Eukaryotic small subunit ribosomal RNA", at positions 1778 to 1831 of the family's 1831-position model. The record is from RNAcentral.